Non-coding RNA from Elizabethkingia anophelis, 36 nucleotides. The record is from Rfam. NCBI's taxonomy places the organism in Bacteria, Pseudomonadati, Bacteroidota, Flavobacteriia, Flavobacteriales, Weeksellaceae.
AAAGCGGAAUCUGAAAAGCUUAUAAAAGAGUAAGAA